CAGCAGCCACGGUAACACGGAGGGAGCUAGCGUUAUUCGGAAUUACUGGGCGUAAAGCGCACGUAGGCGGCUUUGUAAGUUAGAGGUGAAAGCCUGGAGCUCAACUCCAGAAUUGCCUUUAAGACUGCAUCGCUCGAGUCCAGGAGAGGUGAGUGGAAUUCCGAGUGUAGAGGUGAAAUUCGUAGAUAUUCGGAAGAACACCAGUGGCGAAGGCGGCUCACUGGACUGGUAUUGACGCUGAGGUGCGAAAGCGUGGGGAGCAAACAGGAUUAGAUACCCCCGUAGUCCCUGUCUCUUAUAA
RNAcentral lists this ribosomal RNA (301 nucleotides) under uncultured bacterium. RNAcentral's name for it is "partial 16S ribosomal RNA". It matches the Rfam family "Bacterial small subunit ribosomal RNA", at positions 509 to 809 of the family's 1533-position model. The record is from RNAcentral.